RNAcentral lists this long non-coding RNA (218 nucleotides) under Capsicum annuum. RNAcentral describes it as "long non-coding RNA (CANN_LNC009721)". Lineage: Eukaryota; Viridiplantae; Streptophyta; Magnoliopsida; Solanales; Solanaceae. The record is from RNAcentral.
GCCUAUGAAACAUAACUUCUUCUUUGAAAGUCAUACGUUUUGUCUCUAUAAUGUGGUAGUGUCAACUCUUGCUCAUGGGGCGUAACUCGAUUGGAAGAAGUCAAAGAAAAGAAAAAAAUAAUAAAAAUUACAAAAAAGGAUAAAAAUAUUAGAAAAGAAAAAAUAAAAAUCAAAGAAAAUAAAAAAAUAAAAAUGAAGAAAAUAUAUAAGUUGGGGGA